RNAcentral lists this long non-coding RNA (1408 nucleotides) under Eutrema salsugineum. RNAcentral's name for it is "long non-coding RNA (ESAL_LNC001083)". The record is from RNAcentral. Lineage: Eukaryota; Viridiplantae; Streptophyta; Magnoliopsida; Brassicales; Brassicaceae.
AAGAGUGGGGCCAUUACUUGCAAAAUCGCCACUUUUGUCAGGCUGAGAAGCUUCAUAUUCCUUCCACAACUUUAUCAGUUCUUGCAUACAUUCCCCAACUUUGUAAACAACAAUCGACACCUCUGACUUGCCUGAAUCUUCAGUAGAAUAAAUUCAACAGGCUGUUAACUAAAUUAUAAACUGCAAAUUUCUUUCGCAUAACAGCAGAAGUAUAAAAUUGUAGAAGAUUAAAAGUAGCAAACACUUGAUAAUGUUUAGUUGACCUAAACCUUAGACCAAUCCUGAAAAACACGGAGAUAUAAGCAAUAAGCAGCCCAAAUCUGAUGUAGCAUUGAGGAUGAAACCGACUUUUUGGUCCAAUCUUUUUGUAUUUGACAUUCUACUGUGAGAGUAACGAACUACGACCUAAAGUCAAAUCUACGAAGGGUGAUAUAAAUUGGUUAUCAAGUAGAUGUGUUUCGUAGAUAACCAUUAUCAAUGCACAUGUAAAAACGAAUGCAAUUUAACCGAUUUUUUUACUAUUGUUUUCCAAGCAGUGCAACUCUAUCCUUUCUCGAGGAUAUCGAAACGAGUGAUUACCUUGUACCCUGCAAAAUAAACACAAUCAAACAUGGAUGAUAUGUUAAAAGGCAAGCAGUGAUUGAAUAAAGUUAAGGACUUGGCCAAUAACUAACUUACAUGAUAAAAAGAAAUACAGGAGAAGAUAAUCUUAAUACAGAGAGAAAAGGAGGCGGUAGGGAAGAAUAUCCAGAGGAACUACAAAUUUGGGUCUAAAGAGAUAAAGUGACACUACAAAAUACAAUUAUGGGUGCAUAAUUUCCUAAAAGGCUUUUUUAUCUCUUGCGUGAAAAAAACAAUAAUGGUACUGUAAUAAGAUAUUUCAACAAUUAUCGCCCGUAAAAUGUCUUAUCACCCGCAGAUUAUACUAAAUGUAGGUUCAAAUUUUAACCAAUCCUGGCAUGUCUUUCUAAAUGGUAAAAAAUAUUAAUGAUUUUGCUAAGAUAUGAGAGGCUAAUACUUAGACGGAGUCUAAGAUUAAUGUGUAAGACAGAGAGACUCACCCUUCGUUCUCCUGACUCCGUGAACGGACACGGUCGCGGUUUGUGGUUUGUGGACUGCCUCUAGGUCUCAGCAUCCUCUUCCGUUGCUGAACUCCAUAAUUAAAGGCGUCUUUUUCCCUCUCCGCAGCUCCUUCACCCUCCAAACACCCAUCUUCAGAUUCUUUUUCACUGAUUCUGCUGCGCUUUUCAGCUCUUUCUGUUUCGGAAUCACCAUCCCUCUCUCUCCUUUUAUCCUUUGAUUCUCUUUCAUCUUUUUCCCAACCCUCCGGUUCAUUCAGCUUCUUCUGCUCUGGUGCCACAUAUUCCUGUUCUGCAGGUUUGGUAGGUCCUUCUCCCAACUCUUUCUC